GACGAACGCUGGCGGCGUGCUUAACACAUGCAAGUCGAACGGAAAGGCCCUGCGUUUGUGGGGUGCUCGAGUGGCGAACGGGUGAGUAACACGUGAGUAACCUGCCCUUGACUUUGGGAGAACUUCAGGAAACUGGGGCUAAUACCGGAUAGGAGCUCCUGCUGCAUGGUGGGGGUUGGAAAGUUUCGGCGGUUGGGGAUGGACUCGCGGCUUAUCAGCUUGUUGGUGGGGUAGUGGCUUACCAAGGCUUUGACGGGUAGCCGGCCUGAGAGGGUGACCGGCCACAUUGGGCCUGAGAUACGGCCCAGACUCCUACGGGAGGCAGAAGUGGGGAAUAUUGCACAAUGGGCGGAAGCCUGAUGCAGCAACGCCGCGUGCGGGAUGACGGCCUUCGGGUUGUAAACCGCUUUCGCCUGUGCCGAAGCGUGAGUGACGGUAAUGGGUAAAGAAGCACCGGCUAACUACGUG
RNAcentral lists this ribosomal RNA (468 nucleotides) under uncultured bacterium. Its description in RNAcentral is "partial 16S ribosomal RNA". It matches the Rfam family "Bacterial small subunit ribosomal RNA", at positions 28 to 507 of the family's 1533-position model. The record is from RNAcentral.